Callorhinus ursinus (northern fur seal) is the source of this 3298-nucleotide RNA transcript. It is a transcript of the gene named NFKB activating protein, with no coding region annotated. Lineage: Eukaryota; Metazoa; Chordata; Mammalia; Carnivora; Otariidae. The record is from RefSeq and is a predicted model, not a curated record.
AAGGUUUCCUCAGGUUCCGGCGGUGGCGCGACGGCGGGUUUGGGACCCGAACCAACCCAGAUCUUCCGAGGCUCGCGAGAGCGCCCCCCUUCUCUAGCUAUUUGGGGGACCCAGCGGCCGCGAUGGCUCCGGUGUCGGGUUCGCGCAGCCCUGAGGGGGAGGCCUCGGGCUCCGGGGGGAAGCGUCGCAGUUCGUCGAGAAGCCCUAAGCCCAGCAGAUCCGCCCGCUCCCCGCGGGGCCGUCGCUCGCGCUCUCGUUCGCACUCUUGCUCUCGGAAUGGUGUCAGCCAUCAGCCGGGCGGCUUCAGUCAGGGGUCCCGAAACCAGUCCUACCGAUCCCGUUCGCGGUCAUGCUCCCGGGAGCGGCCCUCUGCGCCGCGGGGCAACCCCUUCGCUUCAGCCUCCUCGACCGCGUAUUAUGGCGGCUACUCGCGCCCCUACGGGAGCGACAAGCCGUGGCCUAGCCUUCUGGACAAGGAGAGGGAGGAGAGCCUGCGGCAGAAGAGAUUAAGUGAGAGAGAGAGGAUUGGAGAAUUGGGAGCUCCUGAAGUAUGGGGACUUUCUCCAAAGAAUCCAGAACCAGACUCUGACGAACACACACCAGUAGAGGAUGAUGAGCCAAAGAAAAGCACCACUUCAGCUUCUACUUCAGAAGAAGAGAAGAAGAAGAAGAAGAGGAAGUCUAGUCGUUCGAAAGAAAGGUCCAAGAAAAAGAGAAAGAAAAAAUCCUCUAAAAGAAAACACAAGAAGUAUUCUGAUGACAGCGACAGUGACUCUGACUGUGACUCAGACUCCAGCGAUGAGGAUACAAAAAGAAGAGCAAAGAAAGCCAAGAAAAAGGAAAAGAAGAAGAAACAUAGAUCGAAGAAAUACAAGAAAAAGAAGUCUAAGAAGAGUAGAAAAGAUUCCAGUGAUUCAAGCUCUAAAGAUUCCCAGGAAGAGUUUCUGGAGAAUCCCUGGAAGGAUCGGUCAAAGCCUGAAGAACCCUCAGAUUUAAUUGGCCCAGAGGCUCCAAAAACACUUGCCUCUCAGGAUGAUAAACCUUUGAACUAUGGCCAUGCGCUGUUACCUGGUGAGGGUGCAGCUAUGGCUGAAUAUGUAAAAGCAGGGAAACGUAUCCCAAGAAGAGGUGAAAUUGGCUUGACAAGUGAAGAAAUCGCAUCAUUUGAAUGCUCGGGUUAUGUAAUGAGUGGUAGCAGGCAUCGCCGAAUGGAGGCCGUGCGACUGCGGAAAGAGAACCAGAUCUAUAGUGCUGAUGAGAAGAGAGCCCUGGCGUCCUUUAACCAAGAAGAGAGGCGAAAGAGAGAAAACAAGAUUCUGGCCAGUUUUCGAGAGAUGGUAUACAGAAAAACUAAAGGGAAAGAUGACAAAUAAGGAUUUUCUGAUUGUUCAGCAUUUUUAACAAAAAAAGAAAGUCUGGGUUCCACAUAUACAUACAAAAAGAUUACUAUGAUCUGAAAAAGCUUUACAGUGCUACUGUGCCUUCUAUUUAAUUCUUUCAGUCCUUCAAUAGAAAGCUGCUUAUUGAUAUAAUUUUAGCAAGUUCUUUGGGUUAUUUUUGGAUUGACCAUAAUAACUCUCUGGUUUAAAAAUCCAAAUUACGAAUGAAAUCAUACUGUACUUGGGGAGGUGGCAUUGAGAGAAAGUGUCAGUAAGAUGAGAAACUUAACUCUCACACCAUGGGACAGUGCUACUAUUAGCUCUACAUGAUGCCCGUCCCCCACUCCCACCCCAACUGAACUUGUGGGAAAUCAUCAUUCCUCUAUGUUGAACGUGUUAUAAAUGGACUUGAUAGAAACAUACAGGAGGCCACUUUUGUUAACAGGGUGAAGGCAUUGCUGAAAAAAGCAAAUCUGGAAUUUGAAAAUCGACUUGUAUAAUAUAUAGUCUGCCUUGGAAAUCAUGUAUUUUGGUUUUAGUCCCUACCUCUACCCCAAAUCCAACAAACAAGCCAAAAACCAAACUAACCCACAGACUUAAUGAGUUGAAAAUGUGAAUGUUAGUGUUUUAAGUUCUUAAAAGGUUCCUUAAAAAUGGUUCUUCAAAUAUAAAAUACUGGGAAGUGUACUGUUGUGCCAAUGUAAGUAGAUUAUUUCCAUCUAAGCUAUGCUUAGAUCGUUAUUUGAAUACUGGAAAUGAAUGGGCGUCAACUAUGGUUAGGAGUUUAAUAGGGAAAAAUAUAUUGAAGUGUUGGUUUUAAUUUAGUUUUAUAAGGAUGAAGUUAAAAUGAUAUUAAACGUAUUUUAAGUCUGUCCUUUAUGUAAUAAGCAUAUUUCAUUUUAAACAUUGUUAAACGUUUCAGUUUAUUUUUUAUAUCUGUCAUUCAGUUUAACUUUGUAUAGAACCCCUCACUUUAUCACCUUUUUAUGGCUACUGUUGACUUUUAAGUUUGAGAGAAAUGGAAAAUUCUGGGACUAGCAGUUCAUGAUCUUUUUUCUUCCCAUUAUUUUGUUCAGUUUGAGUUGUUAGGUCACAAGAGUGAAGAGAAAGGGGACAGUAGAAGUUUUGGCUGUUUUUGUUAAGGUUGUUUUGAGCUGUGUUAUUAUGUGUCUAGAAUAAAUCUAAAUUACCUGGGGGAUGGGGAAGUUCUAACUCUGUGGUCAUAAAAUGCUCUCUCUUAUAAUAGUUUAAAGUGUUUUUUUCCAAAGUUUUAAAAUAAGGCAGUCAUAUUUCAAAGUAUAGAUAAAAAGUUUUACUAUUUAACAUAUGUUCUAGGAAAGUGUCUACCUUUAACCCACAACUAAGGAACUAAACCAUUUGGCGUGUAGCAACAUUUAUGACUCCUGAAGAUGAAGUGAUUUCUGUUUAUCAUCAUUGCUGCCUAACCUGAUCAAUAUCUUGUUUCCUAAAGGCACUGUGCUUGGGACCAGACCUGCUCCUCUGAUGACCCAAACCCUGGAUUUGUGGAUGUUAUUUGGAUUCCUUUCACACCAGCUAUCAACAUACUUCAUAUUCCUGGUCUACCUGGUUGGCUACCCGCAGUCAUUCCUUCAAGUAUUUAUUGAGUGCCUAUUACUUGCCAGGCCUCAUUUUACAGCAAAACAGAAAUUCCUGCCUUUGUGGAGCUUAUAUUCUGGUAGGGGGAACAGACAAUAACAAGAUAAUAAAUUACGUAGACUAUCAGAAGGUAAGAAAGUGUUAGGGAGAAAAAGCAAAAGCAUGGAGGAAGGGAUAAAAGUGUGACGUAGGAGGUGAGAGCAGGGUGUGCACAUACCUAGGUGAGAGUGUUCCAGUCAGAGGGAACAGCAGAUGCAGAGGCCCUGAGGUGGGACUCUACCUGGAUUAUUGAAGUCACAAGA